RNAcentral lists this non-coding RNA (109 nucleotides) under chicken gut metagenome. Its description in RNAcentral is "FMN riboswitch (RFN element)". It matches the Rfam family "FMN riboswitch aptamer (RFN element)". Rfam says of the family: The RFN element is a highly conserved domain that is found frequently in the 5'-untranslated regions of prokaryotic mRNAs that encode for flavin mononucleotide (FMN) biosynthesis and transport proteins. The record is from RNAcentral.
UGUCUUCGGGGCAGGGUGAAAUUCCCGAUCGGCGGUUACAGUCCGCUAGCGGCAACGCAUGAACCGGUGCAAUUCCGGUACCGACAGUAUAGUCUGGAUGGAAGAAGAU